This 432-nucleotide ribosomal RNA is filed under the name uncultured bacterium. RNAcentral describes it as "partial 16S ribosomal RNA". It matches the Rfam family "Bacterial small subunit ribosomal RNA", at positions 29 to 507 of the family's 1533-position model. The record is from RNAcentral.
ACGAACGCUGGCGGCAUGCCUAACACAUGCAAGUCGCACGAGACCUUCGGGUCUAGUGGCGCACGGGUGCGUAACGCGUGGGAACCUGCCCUUAGGUUCGGAAUAACUCCCCGAAAGGGGUGCUAAUACCGGAUAAUGUCUUCGGACCAAAGAUUUAUCGCCUUUGGAUGGGCCCGCGUUGGAUUAGCUAGUUGGUAGGGUAAAAGCCUACCAAGGCGACGAUCCAUAGCUGGUCUGAGAGGAUAAUCAGCCACACUGGGACUGAGACACGGCCCAGACUCCUACGGGAGGCAGCAGUGGGGAAUAUUGGACAAUGGGCGAAAGCCUGAUCCAGCAAUGCCGCGUGAGUGAUGAAGGCCUUAGGGUUGUAAAGCUCUUUUACCCGGGAUGAUAAUGACAGUACCGGGAGAAUAAGCUCCGGCUAACUCCGUG